AUGGAGAAUGCAUUACAUUGAUAAUGAAUAAUUUCUUGCAUUAUAAGAUUUACAUUACAGAAUUUGUCUAAAAUAUUCGAGAAAAGAAUGCAAUUUGAGCAAAAAAUGAUUAUAACAUUAUUGUUAUCGAAUACAUUAUAUUAUUCAUCCCAAUAGAAGCGAAAUGGUAAUUUCAUUUGACGAAAUCUGCAAACUGAUUACCGUCUAUAUUCCAGAAUCUAUACAUGAUGGAAUGUGUAGUUUCAUAGUUUUUUUUUCUUGUUUUUUUGUGUCCCGUUAUUUUCGGGCGACUUCAUGUCGCGUUAUUGUUGAAAUUUGUAAAUUUGUUUAGUUUUGUUUCAUUUGUGUGACAGUGAAGACGUAAGUUUAUAAAAUGUAUUGAAAGCGACAUUGGAGGCGUUUAAUAUUAAAAAAUUGGGGAAGACUUCGCUUCGUUUAUACCCAUCAUGGAAAGAAUCUUGAUUCCUUCUGGAGUUGUAAAAAACUUAUGUAGAGUACUUUCCGAAGAAUUAAUUAUGAACUAUAACUUUGAAGGAAUAAAAGGAAAAAUGGCUUUUAAGUCCUUUGAAAAUAUAAAUAAGUUAAUGUAUGAGGUGUCAAAGAGGGAAGGAUACGACGAGAAGGAAUAUAAGAAGGAUGUUGAAAAAGGCAUUCCAUUUGAUAAAAUUAAGGCAGUUUAAGGAAACACAUCUCGCCAAAAAACGUAGCGAGAAAUAAGAAUUUAUUUAAACAUAAUCCAAAAAUGAAUUAUAUUUUAUUGUUUUGUAUGUAUUCACAAUUAGUUUGUUUGUUUAUUUUUUUGUAUUGUAAGAAUACGUACAUAUAAUUAUAAACUG
Musca domestica (house fly) is the source of this 836-nucleotide long non-coding RNA. RefSeq lists it as uncharacterized. The record is from RefSeq and is a predicted model, not a curated record. The transcript has 3 exons. Lineage: Eukaryota; Metazoa; Arthropoda; Insecta; Diptera; Muscidae.